GUUCCUCCUAGAAUGUUCUAGAACACUUCUAUCAAUGAGGUAACCUUAAGGAUUCCUCCUAGAAUGUUCUAGAACAUGUCUGUCAAUGAGGUCACCUCAAGGGAUUUCCAGAUCAAGCUAGCACCUCCUUUUAAUAUACUUCAUUAACAUCAAUUUCUUAAAACAUACAUUUUUCAAACUACCUUUACUCAAUUCUAAUCUUACUACAACCUAAUUUAUUACUCCAGUUAUAUCUUAAUAAUUCAAUAUUUGAAACAUUUCAACAUUAUAAUAUUUGACCAUUAUAACGUCUCGUUAUCAACCUCCUAAGGCCUUGUCCUCUAAGCAGAAUGAAACACAGUCUAUAUGAUUCACAACUUAAAGAAAACUACAUCAUAACUCUCCUCACCUGCAUUAUUUUAACACCUUUAAUAUCUCCCAACGUUUUCAACCUUUAACAUUUAAUAUGUUUAACCUUUAAUUAGUAUUUCAAUAAAUUCCAGUCCCAAUUCAUUUCUUCUUCUCUUUAGUCAGUGUCAAUUCAUUUCUUCUUCUCUUUAGUCAGUGUCAAUUCAUUUCUUCUUCUCUUUCGUCAGUGUCAAUUCAUUUCUUCUUCUCUUUCGUCAGUGUCAAUUCAUUUCUUCUUCUCUUUAGUCAAUGUCAAUUCAUUUCUUCUUCUCUUUCAUCAGUGUCAAUUCAUUUCUUCUUCUCUUUCGUCAGUGUCAAUUCAUUUCUUCUUCUCUUUCGUCAGUGUCAAUUCAUUUCUUCUUCUCUUUAGUCAGUGUCAAUUCAUUUCUUCUUCUCUUUAUCAGUGUCAAUUCAUUUCUUCUUCUCUUUCGUCAGUGUCAAUUCAUUUCUUCUUCUCUUUCGUCAGUGUCAAUUCAUUUCUUCUUCUCUUUAGUCAGUGUCAAUUCAUUUCUUCUUCUCUUUAGUCAGUGUCAAUUCAUUUCUUCUUCUCUUUCGUCAGUGUCAAUUCAUUUCUUCUUCUCUUUAGUCAGUGUCAAUUCAUUUCUUCUUCUCUUUAGUCAGUGUCAAUUCAUUUCUUCUUCUCUUUAGUCAGUGUCAAUUCAUUUCUUCUUCUCUUUAGUCAGUGUCAAUUCAUUUCUUCUUCUCUUUAGUCAGUGUCAAUUCAUUUCUUCUUCUCUUUAGUCAGUGUCAAUUCAUUUCUUCUUCUCUUUCGUCAGUGUCAAUUCAUUUCUUCUUCUCUUUCGUCAGUGUCAAUUCAUUUCUUCUUGUCUUUAGUCAGUGUCAAUUCAUUUCUUCUUCUCUUUAGUCAGUGUCAAUUCAUUUCUUCUUGUCUUUCGUCAGUUUCAAUUCAUUUCUUCUUCUCUUUAGUCAGUGUCAAUUCAUUUCUUCUUCUCUUUAGUCAGUGUCAAUUCAUUUCUUCUUCUCUUUAGUCAGUGUCAAUUCAUUUCUUCUUCUCUUUAGUCAGUGUCAAUUCAUUUCUUCUUCUCUUUCGUCAGUGUCAAUUCAUUUCUUCUUCUCUUUCGUCAGUGUCAAUUCAUUUCUUCUUCUCUUUAGUCAGUGUCAAUUCAUUUCUUCUUCUCUUUAGUCAGUGUCAAUUCAUUUCUUCUUCUCUUUAGUCAGUGUCAAUUCAUUUCUUCUUCUCUUUCGUCAGUGUCAAUUCAUUUCUUCUUCUCUUUAGUCAGUGUCAAUUCAUUUCUUCUUCUCUUUCGUCAGUGUCAAUUCAUUUCUUCUUCUCUUUCGUCAGUGUCAAUUCAUUUCUUCUUCUCUUUCGUCAGUGUCAAUUCAACCUCAUUGUUCAUUCCUCUUUAUGCUCCAUGUGUGAGUGAAAGUGAAACGUCUUCCUGAGUGUGUGUGGGUGUUUACAAGUGGGUCCUCCCUACCGGUGUCCUCUGUCACUAAAAUGUCACAGAAAACUGAGCCUCAACCAACCAUUCUUGACACAGUAAAGACCCUCAGUCUACCUCUGUACAUUACAAACAGUAAAGAACCCCAGUCUACCUCUGUACAUUACCAAACAGUAAAGACCCUCAGUCUACCUCUGUACAUUACCAAACAGUAAAGACCCUCAGUCUACCUCUGUACAUUACCAAACAGGAAAGAACCCCAGUCUACCUCUGUACAUUACCAAACAGGAAAGAACCCCAGUCUACCUCUGUACAUUAAAACAGGAAAGAAGCCCAGUCUACCUCUGUAUGUUAAAACAGUAAAGAACCCCAG
Molecule: long non-coding RNA, 2163 nt
Organism: Oncorhynchus tshawytscha (Chinook salmon)
Lineage: Eukaryota; Metazoa; Chordata; Actinopteri; Salmoniformes; Salmonidae
Source: Ensembl